Hordeum vulgare subsp. vulgare (domesticated barley) is the source of this 136-nucleotide non-coding RNA. The record is from Rfam. Lineage: Eukaryota; Viridiplantae; Streptophyta; Magnoliopsida; Poales; Poaceae.
GUAGUACUCCCUCCGUCCCAAAAUUCUUGUCUUAGAUUUGUCUACAUACGAAUGUAUCUAUUCACGCUUUAGUAUUUAGAUACAUCUAUUUCUUGACAAACCUAAGACAAUAAUUUUAGGACGGAGGGAGUACUAG